This 327-nucleotide ribosomal RNA is filed under the name uncultured eukaryote. Its description in RNAcentral is "partial 18S ribosomal RNA". It matches the Rfam family "Eukaryotic small subunit ribosomal RNA", at positions 1470 to 1796 of the family's 1831-position model. The record is from RNAcentral.
CCCUUAGAUGUUCUGGGCCGCACGCGCGCUACACUGACGAAUGCAACGAGCUUAUAACCUUGGCCGAAAGGUCUGGGUAAUCUCCAAAUUUCGUCGUGAUGGGGAUAGAUUAUUGCAAUUAUUAAUCUUCAACGAGGAAUGCCUAGUAAGCGCAAGUCAUCAGCUUGCGUUGAUUACGUCCCUGCCCUUUGUACACACCGCCCGUCGCUCCUACCGAUUGGAUGGUUUAGUGAGAACUCGGGACUGGCACUAAGGGGCUGGCAACAGCCUAUUAGAGCCGGGAACUUGCUCAAACUUGAUCAUUUAGAGGAAGUAAAAGUCGUAACA